GACGAACGCUGGCGGCGUGCCUAAUACAUGCAAGUUGAGCGAUGAAGAUUGGUGCUUGCACCAAUUUGAAGAGCAGCGCACGGGUGAGUAACGCGUGGGGAAUCUGCCUUUGAGCGGGGGACAACAUUUGGAAACGAAUGCUAAUACCGCAUAAUAACUUUAAACAUAAGUUUUAAGUUUGAAAGAUGCAAUUGCAUCACUCAAAGAUGAUCCCGCGUUGUAUUAGCUAGUUGGUGAGGUAAAGGCUCACCAAGGCGAUGAUACAUAGCCGACCUGAGAGGGUGAUCGGCCACAGUGGGACUGAGACACGGCCCAAACUCCUACGGGAGGCAGCAGUAGGGAAUCUUCGGCAAUGGACGAAAGUCUGACCGAGCAACGCCGCGUGAGUGAAGAAGGUUUUCGGAUCGUAAAACUCGGUUGGUAGAGAAGAACGUUGGUGAGAGUGGAAAGCUCAUCAAGUGACGGUAACUACCCAGAAAGGGACGGCUAACUACGUG
This 497-nucleotide ribosomal RNA is filed under the name uncultured bacterium. Its description in RNAcentral is "partial 16S ribosomal RNA". It matches the Rfam family "Bacterial small subunit ribosomal RNA", at positions 28 to 507 of the family's 1533-position model. The record is from RNAcentral.